This 491-nucleotide ribosomal RNA is filed under the name uncultured bacterium. Its description in RNAcentral is "bacterial SSU rRNA". It matches the Rfam family "Bacterial small subunit ribosomal RNA", at positions 37 to 518 of the family's 1533-position model. The record is from RNAcentral.
AACGCGUGGCGGCGUGACUUAACACAUGACAAGUCGACGAAGCACUUACGACAGAUUCCUUCGGGAUGAAGAUGUUGUGACUGAGUGGCGGACGGGUGAGUAACGCGUGGGAAACCUGCCCUACACAGGGGGAUAACAGUUGGAAACGGCUGCUAAUACCGCAUAAGCGCACAGUAUCGCAUGGUACAGUGUGAAAAACUCCGGUGGUGUAGGAUGGUCCCGCGUCUGAUUAGCUAGUUGGUGAGGUAACGGCCCACCAAGGCGACGAUCAGUAGCCGACCUGAGAGGGUGACCGGCCACAUUGGGACUGAGACACGGCCCAAACUCCUACGGGAGGCAGCAGUGGGGAAUAUUGCACAAUGGGCGAAAGCCUGAUGCAGCGAACCGCCGCGUGAGCGAUGAAGUAUUUCGGUAUGUAAAGCUCUAUCAGCAGGGAAGAUAAUGACGGUACCUGACUAAGAAGCACCGGCUAAAUACGUGCCAGCCGCGGC